GAGAAAUCGAAGCUCGAUAUGACGCAAAAGCAAACCACAUCAAGUCCUGAGGUAUGUGUUCUCUUCUUGCUUGAUCACAUAAAAUCUACCAUUAUUUUAUAGUUGCUUCAUACUACAUAACAGUUUCUUCUCUAUUUUUCUUCAUGCAACUCGUUCCAAACCAAAAAAAAAAGAAAUCAAAAGCUUUUCAACACUAGAACACUGCACAAGAAGUCAAAAUUCAGCUCCUUAUGCAUAUACAUGAGUUGCAAAAUUCAUAAAAACAAAUAGAUACGAACUAGACGAUUGAGGGUGGAUUCGAGUCUGACGACAGUGAAAUUUGGGGGAAACUUAGAGGACCCAUGAAUGGAAGAAUCUUGUUGAAGAACUCUAACCUCGUCCUCUUUGUCAUGUCCUUCUCCUCCUAGAAUGGAAGAUUACGGGUGGCGGCUGCUCUUCGUGGAGGAGACAUCAUUGUACAAUCGUGCGGUGCUGGGAGCUUUCUUGCCGAGUAAUGUGUGGGAACCAGUCCCUCACUUCUUCCAGACGUGGCUCCGGAACUACAUUGGAGUAAUCCUCAUGUACUUCGUAUCUGGUUUCCUCUGGUGUUUCUGCAUUUAUUACUUGAUCAAAGUUUAUCAUCCUAAAGAUGGUGAUGGCUGUUUUCGCAUACAUCUAUCAUCAGUCAUUUGUUGCAUCACAAAGUUUAUCGGUUGAGAUGAUUUUGGACCAGAUAUUGAUGAACCUCACUUUCGAGGAGCAGUGAGCUCUGUACACGUAUGUUUGUAGCUUCUCCAGGUGAUCAUCAUUCUCAUUCACUCAAUACUAGCUUCUCAAUCUGGAAAUAAAUAAGUAAAUAAUAAUAAUGCCUAAUUUAUCAACGUUGUUAUCUACUUACAUGUAUGUUUGUAGGACUCACACAAAAAAUAUGGUGGCGUAACAGGUCAGAUAGUAGGGCCUACUUAUGAGGAAGAAAAAAAGAAGAAAAAAAAAAAAACAGUCAAUUGCUGUGUGACCAAUGGGACAAUUUGCUUUCUGUGUCUGUUUCUGUGAAUUUCUCCUGUGUUUGUAGACUGAUUCUUAUGUAAAAAUCACAAUAGUGGGAAAGCAAAAACA
Non-coding RNA from Camellia sinensis, 1095 nucleotides. NCBI's taxonomy places the organism in Eukaryota, Viridiplantae, Streptophyta, Magnoliopsida, Ericales, Theaceae. The record is from RefSeq and is a predicted model, not a curated record.